Long non-coding RNA from Saccostrea cuccullata (small rock oyster), 1030 nucleotides. RefSeq lists it as uncharacterized. The transcript is spliced from 6 exons. NCBI's taxonomy places the organism in Eukaryota, Metazoa, Mollusca, Bivalvia, Ostreida, Ostreidae. The record is from RefSeq and is a predicted model, not a curated record.
UUCUAUAUUUAUCAAAGAGUUUUCCUUAUUGGAUAAUGUAACAGCGUCGAUAGAUGGACAGUAACACUAAAUGCUGCAAUUAUCCGACACUUAAUUGUUUUGCUUGAGUGUUUAAAUCGAGGGUUGUUUGAGAGAACAAUCAGGAAGACGAUUGGAGAAAUUCUGACACAUGUUUGGAGGAAAGCAAGUAGCCGAAAAAAUAUGUAUAUCACCUAUAGUACAUCAUCGAAAUUCGCUAACCAUUUUUGAAAGUGAAAAGUGAUAAAUUCGAAAGAUGUGGUGGAAUAAUUAUUUCGUGUUUUAUUUAUUUUAUAUUCUAAAUGUCGUCGGCGAUUCCAUUGCUGUUUCCUUUCACUGUGACAGAGGAUGGGACAAAUUUGAAGAUAAAUGUUACAUGCUGUUUUCUGGAUCCAGAAACUGGCAUCAAGCUCGUGAUGAAUGUGCAGCGCAUGGGUCGACUCUUCCAAUAGUGUCAAAUAGAAGAAUCCAAAGAUUCAUCAUCAAACAGUACGGGCAUCUGCUUGGUUCACACGGCGUGUAUUUGUCUGGAAAUGAUAUUAAACAGGAGGGCAGUUGAGAAUGGUUGGAUGAGGACGAACCAUUUUCUUUUCACGCCUGGUAUAAAGGAGAACCUAGCAAUGAUAAUGGAAUUGGUGAUUGUUUACAUAUCUGGAAAACUCACGAAUAUCAGUGGAACGAUGUCCCUUGCCAUUACCCUAUCUCUAACUUCUUGUGCUCUAAAUCAGGAAGGAGAAUUCAAGCAGCUUUGUCGACAUCUUGUGGUUGCAUAAAUGGAAACCAAAACUUUUGCAAAAUUGGAGACAUAUCACAUACGAGAAAAAAACGAAGUAAUGGCAGCAGUAGAAGGCCGGAGGAGGAAGGAGACCCGGACCUCCAUUUUUUCUGAGUAGAGGACUUUGCUAUAUCACAUUUUCCUUUAGAUGCGGAUUGGUUCAUUCUUAUACUUUUUGUUGCGACCGAGAAUGGGCGAAAUGCUGAUGUUUUAUAUAUUUUAAAAAUAUUUUUUAUU